Molecule: ribosomal RNA, 39 nt
Filed under: Sarcodon imbricatus
Lineage: Eukaryota; Fungi; Basidiomycota; Agaricomycetes; Thelephorales; Thelephoraceae
Also listed under: 2 other names
Description: partial 28S ribosomal RNA
Source: RNAcentral
GACCUCAAAUCAGGUAGGACUACCCGCUGAACUUAACAU